AUUGCCUACGGGAGGCAGCAGUGAGGAAUAUUGGUCAAUGGGCGCGAGCCUGAACCAGCCAGGUCGCGUGAGGGAAGACGGUCCUAUGGAUUGUAAACCUCUUUUGUCGGGGAGCAAAAGACGCCACGCGUGGCGUUCCGAGAGUACCCGAAGAAAAAGCAUCGGCUAACUCCGUGCCAGCAGCCGCGGUAAUACGGAGGAUGCGAGCGUUAUCCGGAUUUAUUGGGUUUAAAGGGUGCGCAGGCGGAAGGUCAAGUCAGCGGUAAAAUUGAGAGGCUCAACCUCUUAGAGCCGUUGAAACUGGG
This 305-nucleotide ribosomal RNA is filed under the name uncultured bacterium. RNAcentral's name for it is "bacterial SSU rRNA". It matches the Rfam family "Bacterial small subunit ribosomal RNA", at positions 334 to 637 of the family's 1533-position model. The record is from RNAcentral.